Oncorhynchus keta (chum salmon) is the source of this 792-nucleotide long non-coding RNA. RefSeq lists it as uncharacterized. The record is from RefSeq and is a predicted model, not a curated record. The transcript is spliced from 5 exons. NCBI's taxonomy places the organism in Eukaryota, Metazoa, Chordata, Actinopteri, Salmoniformes, Salmonidae.
GGUUUUAUUGCCCCCUACGUUCAGUUAUAUUUGUGAUAAAACACAAUAUUUUAAUAUCUGGAUCAUUCGCCAAUAUCUUCGUUUUGACAUCUUCAAAUGUUCCUCUUUAGCUUGUCGUCAAAAGGUAGACAGACAGACAGACAGGGCCAGGUAGACAGACAGACAGACAGGGCCAGGUAGAGACAGACAGGGCCAGGUAGAGACAGACAGACAGGGCCAGGUAGAGACAGACAGAUAGGGCCAGGUAGAGACAGACAGAUAGGGCCAGGUAGACAGACAGACAGACAGGGCCAGGUAGACAGACAGACAGACAGGGCCAGGUAGACAGACAGACAGACAGGGCCAGGUAGAGACAGACAGAUAGGGCCAGGUAGAGACAGACAGACAGGGCCAGGUAGACAGACAGACAGAUAGGGCCAGGUAGACAGACAGACAGACAGGGCCAGGUAGAGACAGACAGGGCCAGGUAGAGACAGACAGAUAGGGCCAGGUAGAGACAGACAGAUAGGGCCAGGUAGAGACAGACAGAUAGGGCCAGGUAGAGACAGACAGAUAGGGCCAGGUAGAGACAGACAGACAGGGCCAGGUAGAGACAGACAGACAGGGCCAGGUAGAGACAGACAGACAGGGCCAGGUAGAGACAGACAGACAGGGCCAGGUAGAGACAGACAGACAGGGCCAGGUAGAGACAGACAGACAGGGCCAGGUAGAGACAGACAGACAGGGCCAGGUAGAGACAGACAGACAGGGCCAGGUAGAGACAGACAGACAGGGCCAGGUAGAGACAGAUAG